GUCUACGGCCAUGCCACCCUGAACAUGCCCGAUCUCAUCUGAUCUCAGAAGCUAAGCAGGGUCGGGCCUGUUUAGUACUUGGAUGGGAGACCACCUAGGAAUACCAGGUGCUGUAGGCG
Molecule: ribosomal RNA, 119 nt
Filed under: Pteropus alecto (black flying fox)
Lineage: Eukaryota; Metazoa; Chordata; Mammalia; Chiroptera; Pteropodidae
Also listed under: 1 other name
Source: RNAcentral